AUGAACGCUGGCGGCGUGCCUAAUACAUGCAAGUCGAGCGAACAGACGAGGAGCUUGCUCCUCUGACGUUAGCGGCGGACGGGGGAGUAACACGUGGAUAACCUACCUAUAAGACUGGGAUAACUUCGGGAAACCGGAGCUAAUACCGGAUAAUAUAUUGAACCGCAUGGGUCAAUAGUGAAAGACGGUUUUGCUGUCACUUAUAGAUGGAUCCGCGCCGCAUUAGCUAGUUGGUAAGGUAACGGCUUACCAAGGCAACGAUGCGUAGCCGACCUGAGAGGGUGAUCGGCCACACUGGAACUGAGACACGGUCCAGACUCCUACGGGAGGCAGCAGUAGGGAAUCUUCCGCAAUGGGCGAAAGCCUGACGGAGCAACGCCGCGUGAGUGAUGAAGGUCUUCGGAUCGUAAAACUCUGUUAUUAGGGAAGAACAAAUGUGUAAGUAACUAUGCACGUCUUGACGGUACCUAAUCAGAAAGCCACGGCUAACUACGUG
RNAcentral lists this ribosomal RNA (496 nucleotides) under uncultured bacterium. Its description in RNAcentral is "partial 16S ribosomal RNA". It matches the Rfam family "Bacterial small subunit ribosomal RNA", at positions 29 to 507 of the family's 1533-position model. The record is from RNAcentral.